RNAcentral lists this transfer RNA (75 nucleotides) under Acidobacteriota bacterium. RNAcentral's name for it is "tRNA-Glu". It matches the Rfam family "tRNA". Rfam says of the family: Transfer RNA (tRNA) molecules are approximately 80 nucleotides in length. Their secondary structure includes four short double-helical elements and three loops (D, anti-codon, and T loops). Lineage: Bacteria; Pseudomonadati; Acidobacteriota. The record is from RNAcentral. RNAcentral also lists the same sequence under 1 other name.
GCGCCCAUAGUCUAGCGGUCAGGACGGCGGGUUCUCAGCCCGCUAGCCGGGGUUCGAAUCCCCGUGGGCGUACCA